RNAcentral lists this ribosomal RNA (549 nucleotides) under uncultured Glomeromycotina. Its description in RNAcentral is "SSU rRNA". It matches the Rfam family "Eukaryotic small subunit ribosomal RNA", at positions 548 to 1098 of the family's 1831-position model. The record is from RNAcentral. Lineage: Eukaryota; Fungi; Glomeromycota.
UUGGAGGGCAAGUCUGGUGCCAGCAGCCGCGGUAAUUCCAGCUCCAAUAGCGUAUAUUAAAGUUGUUGCAGUUAAAAAGCUCGUAGUUGAAUUUCGGGAUCAAUUUAUUGGUCGUGCCAACGGUACGCACUGGUACAAUUGGUUUCUCCCUUCUGACGAAGCAUGAUGUCAUUAAUUUGAUGUCGUGGGGAAUCAGGACUGUUACUUUGAAAAAAUUAGAGUGUUUAAAGCAGGCUUUGGCUUGAAUACAUUAGCAUGGAAUAAUGAAAUGGGACGUUUGAUCUUAUUUCGUUGGUUUCUAAGAUCGACGUAAUGAUUAAUAGGGAUAGUUGGGGGCAUUAGUAUUCAAUUGUCAGAGGUGAAAUUCUUGGAUUUAUUGAAGACUAACUACUGCGAAAGCAUUUGCCAAGGAUGCUUUCAUUAAUCAAGAACGAAAGUUAGGGGAUCGAAGACGAUCAGAUACCGUCGUAGUCUUAACCAUAAACUAUGCCGACUAGGGAUCGGAUGAUGUUAAUUUUUUAAUGACUCAUUCGGCGCCUUACGGGAAAC